UACGUAGGGUGCAAGCGUUAGUCGGAAUUACUGGGCGUAAAGCGUGCGCAGGCGGCUUUGCAAGACAGAUGUGAAAUCCCCGGGCUUAACCUGGGAACUGCAUUUGUGACUGCAUGGCUGGAGCGCGGCAGAGGGGGAUGGAAUUCCGCGUGUAGCAGUGAAAUGCGUAGAUAUGCGGAGGAACACCGAUGGCGAAGGCAAUCCCCUGGGCCUGCACUGACGCUGUGGCGCGAAAGCUAGGGGAGCGAACGGG
Molecule: ribosomal RNA, 253 nt
Filed under: uncultured bacterium
Lineage: Bacteria
Description: partial 16S ribosomal RNA
Rfam family: Bacterial small subunit ribosomal RNA
Source: RNAcentral